This is a long non-coding RNA of Salvia miltiorrhiza (redroot sage), 899 nucleotides long. RefSeq lists it as uncharacterized. The record is from RefSeq and is a predicted model, not a curated record. The transcript is spliced from 2 exons. NCBI's taxonomy places the organism in Eukaryota, Viridiplantae, Streptophyta, Magnoliopsida, Lamiales, Lamiaceae.
AGUUGGGCUUGAGCCUUGGGCCGACUUUAGUUUUUUCUGUUGGGCCGAUUUUUCUUUCAGUUGGGCCAGUGUUUAAUUAAAUGGUUGGGACUCAUUUUAUUUAAACUUGGGCUGCCAUUUUUUUUAUUUUUGGGCUGCGAAUUUUAAAACAAAAACAUGGGCUUCCAUUUAAUUGUUAGACUUCUUUAAUUGAUUUAUCAAUUUAAUUCUUUAAUUUGGGUUUAAAUUAAUUAUUUUUGAAAAAGUUUGCAUAAUAGUAUUUUCUUAUUAUGUGCAUAUGUUAAAUAUAUUUAUUUAAUUAUGUGAGUUAAAGCAUGAAUUAAUUUUUGCAUCAAACAUUUUACAUAGAAUCAUUUAUGAUUAAAUUGGUUUUAUUAUUAAAAAUCGAAUAAGGAUAUUGUUGGUGUCCUUGACUCAAGAAUUUAUUUUCUUAAAUAUUUAAUUAUUAAAAUAUGAAAACCCGGCUAAGUGAAUCAUAGGAUGAUAAGCACUUCACUAUGACUUAAGAUUAGAUUCGGGAGACCUAUUAAGAUUAUAGAUUUCUUGUAGGCUUUGUGGAUCGUGAGGACUAGCACUGCUAUACCAAUUCAGAGUUAAGAAUAAACGACAGGCUUUGCCUAUUCAGGUUGAUUGGUCGGUGCUGACGGGGCAGAGCUGAGGCUAGAGUUCAACUCCGUAUUUUGUCUUCCGCUGUUGCACUAGCUCUUAUUUGUCUUUUGUUUCUCCAACUUAAGACUUUUAUGUUAAAUUCUGAAUUAUGUUUCUUAUCGAGUUUAAAUUCUCAACUUCUAGCUCUAUGUUAUUAACAUUGGUUAUCGGAAGCAUGAAACCGAACUUGUGAUCCUAAGGCUUAGAAUGUUGUUGAUUGAUUAAUAUCACUUGAUUUUUGUCUUUCUUCA